RNAcentral lists this ribosomal RNA (460 nucleotides) under uncultured bacterium. RNAcentral's name for it is "partial 16S ribosomal RNA". It matches the Rfam family "Bacterial small subunit ribosomal RNA", at positions 338 to 795 of the family's 1533-position model. The record is from RNAcentral.
ACUACGGGUGGCUGCAGUGAGGAAUAUUGGUCAAUGGGCGGAAGCCUGAACCAGCCAAGUAGCGUGCAGGAUGACGGCCCUACGGGUUGUAAACUGCUUUUAUACGGGAAUAACGCGCCUUACGUGUAGGGCUUUGCAUGUACCGUAUGAAUAAGGACCGGCUAAUUCCGUGCCAGCAGCCGCGGUAAUAGGGAAGGUCCGGGCGUUAUCCGGAUUUAUUGGGUUUAAAGGGAGCGUAGGCCGCAUGUCAAGCGUGCUGUGAAAUGUCCGGGCUCAACCCGGGCCUUGCAGCGCGAACUGGCGUGCUUGAGUCCGCGGAAAGCAGGCGGAAUUCGUCGUGUAGCGGUGAAAUGCUUAGAUAUGACGAAGAACCCCGAUUGCGAAGGCAGCUUGCUGCAGCGGAACUGACGCUGAUGCUCGAAAGCGCGGGUAUCGAACAGGAUUAGAUACCCGGGUAGUC